GAUGAACGCUGGCGGCGUGCCUAAUACAUGCAAGUCGAGCGGUAAGGCCCCUUCGGGGGUACACGAGCGGCGGACGGCUGAGUAACACGUAGGAACGUACCCCAAAGUGAGGGAUAAGCACCAGAAAUGGUGUCUAAUACCGCAUGUGAUCUUCGGAUUAAAGCUUCGGCGCUUUGGGAACGGCCUGCGUCCGAUUAGCUAGUUGGUAGUGUAAAAGACUACCAAGGCGACGAUCGGUAGCUGGUCUGAGAGGAUGAUCAGCCAGACUGGGACUGAGACACGGCCCAGACUCCUACGGGAGGCAGCAGUAGGGAAUUUUCCACAAUGGGCGAAAGCCUGAUGGAGCAACGCCGCGUGCAGGAUGAAUGCCUUCGGGUUGUAAACUGCUUUUAUGUGUGACGAUUAUGACGGUAACACAUGAAUAAGGACCUGCUAACUACGUGCCAGCCGCCGCGGUAA
This 459-nucleotide ribosomal RNA is filed under the name uncultured bacterium. RNAcentral's name for it is "partial 16S ribosomal RNA". It matches the Rfam family "Bacterial small subunit ribosomal RNA", at positions 28 to 523 of the family's 1533-position model. The record is from RNAcentral.